This is a long non-coding RNA of Ficedula albicollis (Collared flycatcher), 227 nucleotides long. RefSeq lists it as uncharacterized. NCBI's taxonomy places the organism in Eukaryota, Metazoa, Chordata, Aves, Passeriformes, Muscicapidae. The transcript has 3 exons. The record is from RefSeq and is a predicted model, not a curated record.
UCGUUAUUGCAGUUGGUCUAGUUCGGGCAUAUCUGGCUAAAGGCAGCUACCACAGCCUUUACUACUCAAUAGAAAAGCCCCUGAAAUUCUUCCAAACUGGAGCUUUGCUUGAGAUUCUGCACUGUGCACUUGGCAUUGUUCCCUCUUCUGUUGUUCUGACUGCUUUCCAAGUGAUGUCAAGGGUUUUCCUGACGUGGGCAGUAACACAUAGUGUAAAAGAGGUAAGU